ACGUCACCGAUACUCCACGUGGCAUAUCCCAUACGCACCCCGCCGCACCCCCGCACUGUGAAGUAUUCCAUACGCAGUUCUUCACUCAAGUGAAGUAUCCUUGCUUUCUAGAAUGGCAAGACAAAACGUCCUAUAGUAGCAACCACCAGGACAAGGCAGCCUAAUUGUUGGCCCAAGCUGAAGUCAAAAAUUACAAUUUAUUUGUUACUGUCCGUUGCUUCUUCUUUCUGUUUUUCAUCUUGUUCUUCAAGGAAUGGGACCCGGGAUACGCGACUGCGUACUGCCAAUGCUAUCAAAGCUAAAGAAAUGUAAAAACGUUUUUCUGUGUUCGACUAAUGCAUUCUGGCUCAUACUUGCUACAUUGUCCGAUAUUGAAUGCUGGCAUUGACACAGUUAGAAGCAUCAACCCCUGAAUAGUAGAGAAGAGAACAGGAGCAUAUAGAAAUUUCCAAGGAAUGAGUCGGCAAAGAAUGCAAAAGGUAUUGAUAAGAAGAACGUUAAUCCAUUCCAGACGUUGAUAAUACCAGCUGCGUGUGCAACACUUAGCUUCCAAACAUUCGUCCAAGAUUAAACAGCCAGAAUUUGCACCACCUUCAUUAGACGUUGGUGAUCCUGCAAUUGAGAGUUGAUCGGAGAUGGUGCGUAUCUCCUGGAGAUAAUCAGCUACAGACUUGUUUUGGUGAGUAAUUCAGCCUAGUUGUUCACGGAGGCCAAAUAUUCGGGUUUGAGAUAUAUUGAGAAAUUUUUAUUUUAUAACUUUAUUUCGACUUGUCAGGCACCCUUACAUGAAUAUACAAAAAAAAAUUACAUGCAUAUAUAUAAUAUUUUACCUGAAUCUCAUAUGUGGAGUUAAUUUUCUAACAACACCGCGUACAUACACACACACAACGAGCACAUUUACACACACAGCGAGCACAUGUACAGAGCAUUUCUCGCACCUUCUGUAGUCUUGUGGCUGGUUUCGGUUUCGGUUUCGGUUCAGGUAAAAUCAGGGCAACAAUAAUAAGGUAACAAAAGAGAUUGAGUGAGCUGAUAACUGCCAAAGUCCAAUAAUAAUUAUCCAGACGACACUGGUUUAAUGUGUGCUUGAACCAAUUUGUCUUCGAUCCUCCAUUCUCACUCACCUUUCCUACUAUAUACACCGACAAGUAACUAGCUGCAAUUCCUAUACCUGUCAAUCCUGUUGUAAAAUACUGUAUGUACUUGUCCAUAGUUGAUGGAUAUCUGGUCUUGAAUAAUUCUUCAUAGCAAGUAUAUGAAAUUCCAUUAAACACUCCAAGAAGUAGGUAUUGUGGAACCAAGGUGAACAUUGACAUCGAAAUUUUAGUAUCUUUGGAAGGGUUGUCUGUUAGUAGAUCAGGUUUGCUACUUAUCACUUUUAAUCUUCGUGUUUCAACCUUUGCAGCAGUAAUGCAGCACAAAAUGGAAGUAACUAAAGCGAGACCUAUUCCUAGUAUUGGGAAAUACUUUUUCUUCUCUUUGGCUGACCAUCCUUUGGCAAAGAGGUAGAUGCGUGUAGAAAUGAUACUUGCACCGAAAGAGAAGAAAAAGAAGAUGAUGCUGUUAACUCUGAGGCGGCCCAGUGUUUGAUUUAGGUGAUUUGCUUGUUCAAGAAAGUAGGUGUUCCCGAGGGAGAGGACAAAUCCACAGACUAUCAAGGUAAUACACAAUGGAGCCAUUCGAAGGCAGACUUUGGUGUCCUCUACUUCUCUCACGCUGCAAAGGUGCCACUUAUCCAAUUUCUGUUCUUCUUCCGAUGGACUUGGGAGUUUCAUGGACUUUUUGGAUAUGGCGGCCACAAAGACUCUGAAGAAUGUCGUUAAUGGGCUUCCCUGAGGUCCUUUGUGUUGGUAGGGAUGCCAAAACUGGCCAUUCAAGAAGACGAGUAGCGCCACGAGGCU
This is a long non-coding RNA of Daucus carota subsp. sativus, 1901 nucleotides long. RefSeq lists it as uncharacterized. The record is from RefSeq and is a predicted model, not a curated record. NCBI's taxonomy places the organism in Eukaryota, Viridiplantae, Streptophyta, Magnoliopsida, Apiales, Apiaceae. The transcript has 4 exons.